RNAcentral lists this ribosomal RNA (257 nucleotides) under uncultured bacterium. RNAcentral describes it as "partial 16S ribosomal RNA". It matches the Rfam family "Bacterial small subunit ribosomal RNA", at positions 80 to 334 of the family's 1533-position model. The record is from RNAcentral.
CAAACCAAAAGACUGGCGACCGGCGCACGGGUGAGUAACGCGUAUCCAACCUGCCUCAUACUCGGGGAUAGCCUUUCGAAAGAAAGAUUAAUAUCCGAUAGCAUAUAUUUCCCGCAUGGGUUUUAUAUUAAAGAAAUUCGGUAUGAGAUGGGGAUGCGUUCCAUUAGUUUGUUGGGGGGGUAACGGCCCACCAAGACUACGAUGGAUAGGGGUUCUGAGAGGAAGGUCCCCCACAUUGGAACUGAGACACGGUCCAA